This is a non-coding RNA of Chelonia mydas (Green sea turtle), 357 nucleotides long. Lineage: Eukaryota; Metazoa; Chordata; Testudines; Cheloniidae. The record is from the annotation of a RefSeq genome assembly.
AUGACUCAGACUCCAGAAUCUCUCUCAGUGUCUGUGGGAGAGACCGUCACUAUCAAAUGCAAAGCCAGCGCAAGCAUUAGCAACAACAUCGCUUGGUACCAACAGAAACCUGGACAGGCUCCCAAGAGUCUUAUCUAUUACACCAGCAACCGUCCUACAGGCAUCCCAGACCGGUUCACUGGCAGUGGGUCGGGCACUGACUACACAUUCACAAUCAGCAGGGUUGAAGCAGAUGAUGCUGGAGAUUAUUACUGUCAGCAGUAUAACAACUUCCCUCUCACAGUGAUACAGACCAAUACAAAAACCUCCCUGCUCUAUGAAGCAUGCAGCAUAGUAGACACUAGUACACACAACUAG